Molecule: ribosomal RNA, 253 nt
Filed under: uncultured bacterium
Lineage: Bacteria
Description: partial 16S ribosomal RNA
Rfam family: Bacterial small subunit ribosomal RNA
Source: RNAcentral
UACGGGGGGGGCAAGCGUUGUUCGGAAUUACUGGGCGUAAAGGGCGCGUAGGCGGUUUGCUAAGUUGGAUGUGAAAACUCUGGGCUUAACCCAGAGCCUGCAUCCAAAACUGGCAAACUUGAGUACUGGAGGGGAAAGCGGAAUUCCUGGUGUAGCGGUGAAAUGCGUAGAUAUCAGGAGGAACACCGGUGGCGAAGGCGGUUUCCUGGCCGAGUACUGACGCUGAGGCACGAAAGCGUGGGGAGCGAACGGG